AUGAACGCUGGCGGCGUGCCUAAUACAUGCAAGUCGCGCGAACGGACGAGAAGCUUGCUUCUCUGAUGUUAGCGGCGGACGGGUGAGUAACACGUGGAUAACCUACCUAUAAGACUGGGAUAACUUCGGGAAACCGGAGCUAAUACCGGAUAAUAUUUUGAACCGCAUGGUUCAAAAGUGAAAGACGGUCUUGCUGUCACUUAUAGAUGGAUCCGCGCUGCAUUAGCUAGUUGGUAAGGUAACGGCUUACCAAGGCAACGAUGCAUAGCCGACCUGAGAGGGUGAUCGGCCACACUGGAACUGAGACACGGUCCAGACUCCUACGGGAGGCAGCAGUAGGGAAUCUUCCGCAAUGGGCGAAAGCCUGACGGAGCAACGCCGCGUGAGUGAUGAAGGUCUUCGGAUCGUAAAACUCUGCUAUUAGGGAAGAACAUAUGUGUAAGUAACUGUGCACAUCUUGACGGUACCUAAUCAGAAAGCCACGGCUAACUACGUG
This 496-nucleotide ribosomal RNA is filed under the name uncultured bacterium. Its description in RNAcentral is "partial 16S ribosomal RNA". It matches the Rfam family "Bacterial small subunit ribosomal RNA", at positions 29 to 507 of the family's 1533-position model. The record is from RNAcentral.